UACGAAGGGGGCUAGCGUUGCUCGGAAUCACUGGGCGUAAAGGGUGCGUAGGCGGGUUUUUAAGUCAGGGGUGAAAUCCUGGAGCUCAACUCCAGAACUGCCUUUGAUACUGAAAAUCUUGAGUCCGGGAGAGGUGAGUGGAACUGCGAGUGUAGAGGUGAAAUUCGUAGAUAUUCGCAAGAACACCAGUGGCGAAGGCGGCUCACUGGCCCGGUACUGACGCUGAGGUGCGAAAGCGUGGGGAGCAAACAGG
RNAcentral lists this ribosomal RNA (253 nucleotides) under uncultured bacterium. RNAcentral's name for it is "partial 16S ribosomal RNA". It matches the Rfam family "Bacterial small subunit ribosomal RNA", at positions 524 to 776 of the family's 1533-position model. The record is from RNAcentral.